AUGCUGCGGGAGCUCGGAGGUUUGGGUGUUUUGAAUAUCAAAUGGUUUGGGUUCGCGCUGCGCUGCAGAUGGCCUUGGUUAAGUUGGAGUGCAGAGGAGCGGCCGUGGCAUGGCCUGCCUGAUACUACGGAGAAGGAGUUCCACGCAAUCUUCAGUGCAGCCUGCCGCAUCACGUUCGGGUCAGGAGAGGUAGCCAAGUUCUGGACUGAUAAGUGGUUGGAUACCGGCUGCUCAAUUGCUCAAACAGCACCGCAACUCUACUCCUUUGUUAAGGACAGGGGGAGAUCUGUCAAGGAGGCGCUGACCGGACAUGCUUGGGUACAUGACAUUGCGGGUGGGCUCUCCCUCCCUGCCAUUGCUCAGUACCUCUCGGUCCGGGAUAUUGCACACGCCACUGUGUUAAAUCCUGAGGCGAGAGACACGCCGCUAUGGCUCCUGACGGAAAAUCAGCAGUUCUCUGUCCAAAGUGCAUACCGCUUGUUCUUUCUGGACACCUUUGCCUCCACUCGGGAGUGGUGGUUGCAGACUAGGGCUGUCAUUCCCAAGCAGAUCCGAAGGAAUUUUGACACGGUGGUGAUCUUGAUGCAUUGGAGGAUAUGGAAAGAAAGAAACUCCAAGAUCUUUGACCAGGUGGCAGCUUCGCCGUCCGGCGUUCUGGAGCGGGUAGUAGAAGAUGUGGCCAUGUGGAGGGCCGCCGGAUGCACCGUUGAUCUGCCAACUUAG
Molecule: ribosomal RNA, 723 nt
Filed under: Triticum aestivum (bread wheat)
Lineage: Eukaryota; Viridiplantae; Streptophyta; Magnoliopsida; Poales; Poaceae
Description: partial small subunit ribosomal RNA
Source: RNAcentral